This 1113-nucleotide ribosomal RNA is filed under the name uncultured prokaryote. RNAcentral describes it as "bacterial SSU rRNA". It matches the Rfam family "Bacterial small subunit ribosomal RNA", at positions 280 to 1410 of the family's 1533-position model. The record is from RNAcentral.
UGGGUAGGGGUCCUGAGAGGGAGAUCCCCCACACUGGUACUGAGACACGGACCAGACUCCUACGGGAGGCAGCAGUGAGGAAUAUUGCACAAUGGAGGAAACUCUGAUGCAGCAACGCCGCGUGGAGGAUGACGCAUUUCGGUGUGUAAACUCCUUUUAAGAGGGAAGAUAAUGACGGUACCUCUUGAAUAAGCACCGGCUAACUCCGUGCCAGCAGCCGCGGUAAUACGGAGGGUGCAAGCGUUACUCGGAAUCACUGGGCGUAAAGCGCGCGCAGGCGGCUUUUCAAGUUGGAUGUGAAAUCCUAUGGCUCAACCAUAGAACUGCAUCCAAAACUGUUAAGCUAGAGUCUGGGAGGGGAAGAUGGAAUUAGUUGUGUAGGGGUAAAAUCCGUAGAGAUAACUAGGAAUACCAAAAGCGAAGGCAAUUUUCUGGAACAGUACUGACGCUCAGAUGCGAAAGCGUGGGUAGCAAACAGGAUUAGAUACCCUGGUAGUCCACGCCCUAAACGAUGAAUGUUAGUCGUCGGGAGGCUCGUCCUUUCGGUGAUGCAGCUAACGCAUUAAACAUUCCGCCUGGGGAGUACGGUCGCAAGAUUAAAACUCAAAGGAAUAGACGGGGACCCGCACAAGUGGUGGAGCAUGUGGUUUAAUUCGAAGAUACGCGAAGAACCUUACCUAGCCUUGACAUUGAUAGAAUCCGGUAGAGAUACUGGAGUGCCCUUCGGGGAGCUUGAAAACAGGUGCUGCACGGCUGUCGUCAGCUCGUGUCGUGAGAUGUUGGGUUAAGUCCCGCAACGAGCGCAACCCUCGUCACUAGUUACUAACGGUUCGGCCGAGGACUCUAGUGAGACUGCCUUCGUAAGGAGGAGGAAGGUGAGGACGACGUCAAGUCAUCAUGGCCCUUACGGCUAGGGCAACACACGUGCUACAAUGGCCAGGACAGUGAGACGCAAUACCGCGAGGUGGAGCAAAUCUAUAAACCUGGUCUCAGUUCGGAUUGUAGUCUGCAACUCGACUACAUGAAGCUGGAAUCACUAGUAAUCGUAGAUCAGCUAUGCUACGGUGAAUACGUUCCCGGGUCUUGUACUCACCGCCCGUCACACCAUGGGAG